This 1529-nucleotide ribosomal RNA is filed under the name Escherichia coli DEC10D. RNAcentral's name for it is "bacterial SSU rRNA". It matches the Rfam family "Bacterial small subunit ribosomal RNA". Lineage: Bacteria; Pseudomonadati; Pseudomonadota; Gammaproteobacteria; Enterobacterales; Enterobacteriaceae. The record is from RNAcentral.
AGAGUUUGAUCAUGGCUCAGAUUGAACGCUGGCGGCAGGCCUAACACAUGCAAGUCGAACGGUAACAGGAAGCAGCUUGCUGUUUCGCUGACGAGUGGCGGACGGGUGAGUAAUGUCUGGGAAACUGCCUGAUGGAGGGGGAUAACUACUGGAAACGGUAGCUAAUACCGCAUAACGUCGCAAGACCAAAGAGGGGGACCUUCGGGCCUCUUGCCAUCGGAUGUGCCCAGAUGGGAUUAGCUUGUUGGUGGGGUAACGGCUCACCAAGGCGACGAUCCCUAGCUGGUCUGAGAGGAUGACCAGCCACACUGGAACUGAGACACGGUCCAGACUCCUACGGGAGGCAGCAGUGGGGAAUAUUGCACAAUGGGCGCAAGCCUGAUGCAGCCAUGCCGCGUGUAUGAAGAAGGCCUUCGGGUUGUAAAGUACUUUCAGCGGGGAGGAAGGGAGUAAAGUUAAUACCUUUGCUCAUUGACGUUACCCGCAGAAGAAGCACCGGCUAACUCCGUGCCAGCAGCCGCGGUAAUACGGAGGGUGCAAGCGUUAAUCGGAAUUACUGGGCGUAAAGCGCACGCAGGCGGUUUGUUAAGUCAGAUGUGAAAUCCCCGGGCUCAACCUGGGAACUGCAUCUGAUACUGGCAAGCUUGAGUCUCGUAGAGGGGGGUAGAAUUCCAGGUGUAGCGGUGAAAUGCGUAGAGAUCUGGAGGAAUACCGGUGGCGAAGGCGGCCCCCUGGACGAAGACUGACGCUCAGGUGCGAAAGCGUGGGGAGCAAACAGGAUUAGAUACCCUGGUAGUCCACGCCGUAAACGAUGUCGACUUGGAGGUUGUGCCCUUGAGGCGUGGCUUCCGGAGCUAACGCGUUAAGUCGACCGCCUGGGGAGUACGGCCGCAAGGUUAAAACUCAAGUGAAUUGACGGGGCCCGCACAAGCGGUGGAGCAUGUGGUUUAAUUCGAUGCAACGCGAAGAACCUUACCUGGUCUUGACAUCCACGGAAGUUUUCAGAGAUGAGAAUGUGCCUUCGGGAACCGUGAGACAGGUGCUGCAUGGCUGUCGUCAGCUCGUGUUGUGAAAUGUUGGGUUAAGUCCCGCAACGAGCGCAACCCUUAUCCUUUGUUGCCAGCGGUCCGGCCGGGAACUCAAAGGAGACUGCCAGUGAUAAACUGGAGGAAGGUGGGGAUGACGUCAAGUCAUCAUGGCCCUUACGACCAGGGCUACACACGUGCUACAAUGGCGCAUACAAAGAGAAGCGACCUCGCGAGAGCAAGCGGACCUCAUAAAGUGCGUCGUAGUCCGGAUUGGAGUCUGCAACUCGACUCCAUGAAGUCGGAAUCGCUAGUAAUCGUGGAUCAGAAUGCCACGGUGAAUACGUUCCCGGGCCUUGUACACACCGCCCGUCACACCAUGGGAGUGGGUUGCAAAAGAAGUAGGUAGCUUAACCUUCGGGAGGGCGCUUACCACUUUGUGAUUCAUGACUGGGGUGAAGUCGUAACAAGGUAACCGUAGGGGAACCUGCGGUUGGAUCACCU